AACGAACGCUGGCGGCGUGCUUAACACAUGCAAGUCGAACGCGAAAGGGACUUCGGUCCUGAGUAAAGUGGCGCACGGGUGAGUAACGCGUGGAUAAUCUACCCGAUGAUCUGGGAUAACAUUUCGAAAGGGGUGCUAAUACCGGAUAAGACCACGGUUUCUUCGGAGACUGCGGUAAAAAGGUGGGGACCUUCGGGCCUACCGUUAUCGGAUGAGUCCGCGUACCAUUAGCUAGUUGGUGGGGUAAGAGCCCACCAAGGCGACGAUGGUUAGCUGGUCUGAGAGGAUGAUCAGCCACACUGGAACUGAGACACGGUCCAGACUCCUACGGGAGGCAGCAGUGGGGAAUUUUGCGCAAUGGGGGAAACCCUGACGCAGCAACGCCGCGUGAGUGAUGAAG
RNAcentral lists this ribosomal RNA (400 nucleotides) under uncultured bacterium. RNAcentral describes it as "bacterial SSU rRNA". It matches the Rfam family "Bacterial small subunit ribosomal RNA", at positions 29 to 413 of the family's 1533-position model. The record is from RNAcentral.